RNAcentral lists this ribosomal RNA (245 nucleotides) under uncultured bacterium. Its description in RNAcentral is "partial 16S ribosomal RNA". It matches the Rfam family "Bacterial small subunit ribosomal RNA", at positions 561 to 793 of the family's 1533-position model. The record is from RNAcentral.
UAAAGACGCAUGCAGGUGGUUUGUUUAAGUUACAGAUGUGAAAGACCCGGGGCGUCAACCUCCGGAAUUGCAUUUGUAAACUAGGCAGACUAGAGUACUGUAGAGGGGGGUAGGAAUUUCAGGUGUAGCGGUGAAAUAGCGUAGAGAUCUGAAGGAAUACCGGUGGCGAAGGCGGCCCCCUCGGACAGAUACUGACACUCAGAUGCGAAAGCGUGGGGAGCAAACAGGAUUAGAUACCCUGGUAG